RNAcentral lists this transfer RNA (67 nucleotides) under Toxodera sp. RNAcentral's name for it is "tRNA-Tyr". The record is from RNAcentral. Lineage: Eukaryota; Metazoa; Arthropoda; Insecta; Mantodea; Toxoderidae.
GAUAAAAUGGCUGAGUAUUAGGUAAUAGUUUGUAAAGCUAUUAAGGGGAAAUAAUUCUCUUUUAUCA